RNAcentral lists this unclassified non-coding RNA (197 nucleotides) under uncultured fungus. RNAcentral describes it as "sequence contains ITS1". Lineage: Eukaryota; Fungi. The record is from RNAcentral.
UUAACUUAUUAUAAAAUAUUACUCAGACAACACAAAAAUCAAGAGUUUAGGGUUCUCUGGCAGGCGCGGACCAGCCGAAGCCAGUGGUCAAAGGACGGGCCUGCCAAAGCAACAAAGGUAAUGUAAACAAAGGGUGGGAGAUCUACCCAAAGGGCAAUUUCUCUGUAAUGAUCCUUCCGCAGGUUCACCUACGGAAA